UAUGAACGUGAAAAUACAUGUACUUAUUGUUGUAAUUGCAUCCUUCAACAUCAUUUUCCACUCGUGCAAAACAAAUCAUAUAGCAAUGCUUAUAAUGAGUGGUUGCGCUCUUCCAAUAUUAUAAACCCCCUAAAUUUGGCAAAGGCGUAUUUACGGUAAAACCAGUCGAUCAACGGUGUAGUUGACGGUUCUGUGCCUUUCUCUCUUGAGUUGUCCUCUCAAGGUUACCUUGUCUAGCACUUCAAAAAUAGAAACCUUACUCUAUUUAACUGUUCAUGCACUAUGGUGAAACUUAGCCGAGUCAGUCAUAUCGUCCCCAUAAUGACUCAUCAGGAUAGCCUAAACAGAAGUCCAUCGGGUUUCCUUGAAAC
Molecule: long non-coding RNA, 371 nt
Filed under: Nicotiana benthamiana
Lineage: Eukaryota; Viridiplantae; Streptophyta; Magnoliopsida; Solanales; Solanaceae
Description: long non-coding RNA (NBEN_LNC019081)
Source: RNAcentral